AGCGGCGGAUGGGUGAGUAACACGUGGGGAACCUGCCCCUAAGUCUGGGAUACCAUUUGGAAACAGGUGCUAAUACCGGAUAAUAAAGCAGAUCGCAUGAUCAGCUUUUUGAAAAGGCGGCGUAAGCUGUCGCUAAGGGGAUGGCCCCGCGGUGCAUUAGCUAGUUGGUAAGGUAACGGCUUACCAAGGCGACGAUGCAUAGCCGAGUUGAGAGACUGAUCGGCCACAAUGGAACUGAGACACGGUCCAUACUCC
Molecule: ribosomal RNA, 255 nt
Filed under: uncultured Lactobacillus sp.
Lineage: Bacteria; Bacillati; Bacillota; Bacilli; Lactobacillales; Lactobacillaceae
Description: partial 16S ribosomal RNA
Rfam family: Bacterial small subunit ribosomal RNA
Source: RNAcentral